This 2496-nucleotide long non-coding RNA is filed under the name Zostera marina. Its description in RNAcentral is "long non-coding RNA (ZMAR_LNC000351)". The record is from RNAcentral. Lineage: Eukaryota; Viridiplantae; Streptophyta; Magnoliopsida; Alismatales; Zosteraceae.
CGAGUCCAUAUAUUUCAAUUAUAAUUGCCAACGAUAAUAGUUAUCUUAUAACUAAAUUCUUAGUAAUAACGGGUUUCCAUAGGGUAUGGGUAAAUAUUUUUAACUUUUUACCGACCAAAUCAGAUAGGUAUGGAUAAGUGAUCCUGAAGUUCAUAUUUAGGUGUUCACUCACCGUGAGGGAUCUAUUUGCAGAAAAAAACUUAAAUAGAUGGGGAAAGUGAGCAAAAUAAGAAACUUCCAUAAAUUACAUAAUCCAUUAGUAUUAAGAGCAAAAAUUCCCUUUUUAAUGGAUGGGGGAAGGAGAGUAACGGGAUUGGUGCAACACCGGUCUUGUGUUCUCUUCUUCUCAAUCUCCCAUGGAAUUUAUGACAGAGUUCAAGAGACAUAUGUUUGCUGAGGAAGUCUCACUGGUGCUUUCAAGAUGGGAUGCGCUCCAGAUGGCGGUGGAGAAGGAAUGGGGCGGUGUUGAUUCUCGUAAGAAAUCUCAGCUACUCGAAUACACCAUCCUAUCGUAGUUCUCCCAAUUCAAAGGUUGGUUAAUAUCAAUAUAUAAUAUCUGAAAUUGAUCCAUCUCAUCAACUGAAUAGACUGGUAAUCUCUUACUAACCUUGUUUGGUAGUUUGCCAUCGUGAUGUUGAUGAUCUGGAGCAUUUGCUUGAUGAGAACAUGAUGUUCUCGUUCAACGCAGAAAUCAACAACGGUACUAUUGAGGAAGUUGCAGAGCAGCUGAUCAUGAUACACGAAGACUGUAUCCAUGGAGAUUAAGAUUAAAAUAAAAUAGAAAACUAAAUAGAAAUGCCAUGUUGCAAUGACGUUCGAAUCUCCCAGGGUUUAUUGUACAAAGAAAUUACAUGUGCGACAUGGAUGGGAAUUGGGAAAGAAUGACCAACGAUCGGAUACAAGAAGAAAUGAAAUUAUGAAGAAUAUAAAUCAACACAACAAUGAAAUUGACAGUUUGCGAGUGUUAUUUCAUUAUCGCACGGAGACAAUCCUACCAAUUCCACCCUCGCUGUUACCACCGGCUUCCUCAGAUAUCCCAUCUUUUGGAAUCCGAACAACGAGCUCACCAUCCACGUAAUUCGCCACUGCAAGCUCAGGUCUGGUACAGGAUGGUAGUCGGAAUCUCCAGCGAUCUAACUCCAGAUCACCAUCACCGUCAACACUGUCUCUGAUGACAACCUUGAUAAUAUUGGGAUGGAUAUGAAUCGCAUGUGCACGAACAUCGUCCCCGAAAUUAUCUGCCGCAACUACAAACACAAACCCCAUGACAUCUUCCUGAACGUCCACGUCGGCAUCGGAUCUGAAAGGGAGUUCGAGGACUUUACUGAAGGUGUGUGGAAGUCGUCGGAGUUUCUUCUGUCUUCCCUCGAUCCCCUCUGCCAAGCUUCGAUUACCAAUUUCACGGAAAGCUAUGUUGUUCCUCUUCCUUGGAAUCGACACGGGGUGGACCUUCAUUUUCCGAACACCGCUGUCGACACAAGUUUGAAAAGUUGGGAUCUUUACCGUUGUCGAAGCCCCCAAAUCCCCAGACGAAAUCAACAAUAACAGAGUCAGACAACCACGGAACAUAUAAUCAAACCAACCUACCGCUACGAAAUCGAUGAUUUGUAGACAAAAACCACAAAGAAGAAAUAAAUCCUCUCGAUAUCGAAACCCUAACAAUAAAAAAAAAUUGCGAAUGAAAAAGACGAAUGGAAGAGGACCGAUGGGGAGAGGGAGAAAAUAUGUGUGUUUCGCAACAAUACCUUUACGACUUUGCCCAUGAUGUUCGUACUAUUUACAUUUUACCGAAUUACAGACAUCCAAAUAUAAUUACGUCACAUCAAACUAUUAAAUAGACAAACCGGACUAGAAUCUUUCGAUGAUGGGACCUACACAUUAGAUGGGAAUCAUUGGAUAGCUGGCUAGUUUUUCUUGUAAGUUAAAUUGCAUUCAUGAAGUAAAGCAAAGUUACAGAAUUAAAGCAUUUUUUUUUUAUGUUAUUCACUUAUCAUAAAUAAAUAAAAAGGCAUUACAUGAUUUACAUCUAUUACAUAAUUUAGCUAAUUUACUUUUUUUUUUUUAUUGUUUGUUUAAUUAUUAUUUUUAUUGUAGUCUUAUAAUCUCUUUAUUUUAUUUCUAAUGUAAAUCGUCUAUAAAAAUGAAUUUAACUAAUUUACUUUAUCCUACUUUAACAGUUAGUUUUGUUAAGAGUGUUCCUUCUUAUCAGUUAUAAAUCAUUAUUCAAAAAUUAGUUAUAGAUGAAUAACUCAAUUAUUCAAUUAAUCCUUAAUUAUACUUGAUAAGUAUUUGGCUAAUCUAUUAUUGUAACAGGAUAAAAGGCUACAUUUACAAGCCCAGACUAUGGACCGGCCCAGAAGAGAAAAGAAAUAAAAAGAAUUCAACAAGAUUUAGUUGAUAUUAAUAAAUACUUAUGGGUUGUAAUAAAAUGUUUUUAGUUUUAUAAAUAACAUUGGUAAAAGUUACAAUUAAAUCAAUUCAAUUUGCAUUUUACAC